UUGAGUCUUUAUUAGUGGCCAUUCCUCAGUUGGUGUAGACUUGAUGCUUGUAUCGCCAUGAUCUUGAUCUUCAAGCUUUAGUUCUUCCUCGCUCUGGUCCUUGUCUUGUAUGAAUAGCAUCUUGUCCUUCGUUAAACUCAUUGCUACUUGGUUGAGAAGCGGUUGCUCGAGGUCGAGUUGAGCAAUGCCUUUGGUGAUGUCUUCUAAGCUUCUUUGGUUGAUCAGGGUGUCCAUGGCAUUGUUGAACUCUUCUCUAAACUUUCUAAAUCCUGAUCUUGUCCUUGGAGGGUUCUUCAUGGUGAGAAAAGUAUCUUUAGGGGCCAUGUCCUCAUCACAGAGCACAAGCAAUAAGUGAUGAGAUGAUUGAACUAUGAAAGACUUGUUUGUUUUUAUCAUCUUGUUGGAUCUAAAUAUACAAAGGUUGAGAAUUCAUGGAUUUUUUUGCCGUACGUUUCUUUCCCUAUCCAUUACCAAAUUUUACAUGGAAGCUGCAGAUUCUAGAUAUUUAGCUUGAGUUUUGAGAAGAGAAAAUAAAAUGGCUAUGGUCAAUGCACAUAACACUUUUUAAACAAAACUACGGAAAUGGUUAUACAUAUAUAUAAUAGACCAUACCUCAAAUUUGAAAGGAUCUUGGAUUUAUAAAUUUGCUUUAUAUGGAAGGGAAUAAUUACCAGUCAAAGUAAUGCUAGAGAAAGAAGACGAAGAUGUUUGACACAAGAUCUUUAACGUCUUAGCUUGACGAAAAUCAGAGAGUAUAAUAAC
This 762-nucleotide long non-coding RNA is filed under the name Eutrema salsugineum. Its description in RNAcentral is "long non-coding RNA (ESAL_LNC000856)". Lineage: Eukaryota; Viridiplantae; Streptophyta; Magnoliopsida; Brassicales; Brassicaceae. The record is from RNAcentral.